UAUUACACAGAACACCAAUUGCGAAGGCAGCUCACUAAACUGUAACUGACGCUGAGGCACGAAAGCGUGGGGAUCAAACAGGAUUAGAUACCCUGGUAGUCCACGCCGUAAACUAUGAUCACUGGAUGUUAGCGGUACACAGCUAGCGUCUGAGUAAAAGCAUUGAGUGAUCCACCUGGGGGAGUACGUCGGCAACGAUGAAACUCAAAGGAAUUGACGGGGGGCCCGCACAAGCGGAGGGAACAUGUGGGUUUAAUUCGAUGAUACGCGAGGAACCUUACCUGGGGCUCGAACGCGGGGGGGGGAUGUAGGUGAAAGCUUACAGCCAGCAAUGGCCGCCCGCGAGGUGCUGCAUGUUGUCGUCAGCUCGUGCCGUGAGGUGUCGGCUUAAGUGCCAUAACGAGCGCAACCCUUAUCAUUAGUUGCCAGCGGGGCAAUGCCGGGGACUCUAAUGAAACUGCCAGCGUAAAGCUGUGAGAAGGCGGGAUGACGUCAAAUCAGUACAGCCCUUACGUCCAGGGCUACACACGUGUUACAAUGGAUGGUACAGAGGGCAGCUACCCCGCGAGGGGAUGCUAAUCUCCAAAGCCAUUCUCAGUUCGGAUCGGAGUCUGCAACUCGACUCCGUGAAGCUGGAUUCGCUAGUAAUCGCGCAUCAGCCACGGCGCGGUGAAUACGUUCCCGGGCCUUGUACACACCGCCCGUCAAGCCAUGGGA
This 717-nucleotide ribosomal RNA is filed under the name uncultured bacterium. RNAcentral's name for it is "bacterial SSU rRNA". It matches the Rfam family "Bacterial small subunit ribosomal RNA", at positions 695 to 1409 of the family's 1533-position model. The record is from RNAcentral.